CUAGAGGAGGAGGAGGAGCAUGUGUCUGUCAUGCUCCUUUGCGGUUCCCACAAUUCCCAGCACAGGAUGUGGGAACCGCAAAGGAGCAUGACAGACACAUGCUCCUCCUCCUCCUCA
Pelobates cultripes (western spadefoot toad) is the source of this 117-nucleotide non-coding RNA. NCBI's taxonomy places the organism in Eukaryota, Metazoa, Chordata, Amphibia, Anura, Pelobatidae. The record is from the annotation of a GenBank genome assembly.